CCCAUUGCUUCCUCUUCGAUUCAGUUUCUCUGUCUUCAGAUUGUACAUUCACGACCUAUGAAGCUAACAUGAAUGAGUAUUUUAAGCAUUUUUAUAUGGCUAUUGGAGUGUCAAUUGAGGGUUGGAAACAUGGCGGACCCAAUAUAUCUAUUGAUGACGCGUUCUUGAAAUGUAAAUAUGCUGGAAAUCUUUUGAUGGCUUCAACAGUUGAUGUUAAACGCUUGGAAGACCAUGAAAACAAAGAAUAUUGUCGUUUGGUGAAAGGAAAAGCAACUUGAAGUGCAAUCGAUGUCAUGUUCAUAGCCAUAAUUGUAGGACAUGCAAAUUGCCACCAGUUGUUUGAUGAUAUUAAAGAAGCUUGUUUUGUCAUAAUUUAUCAAUAAUACUUAGUGUGACAACUUGUUUUGUCACUGAUGUUUAUUAAUUUAUCAAUUAUAGACAGUGAGACAAUUUGUUUUUCUUGUUAAUGUUUGUCAAUUUUUUUUAGGGUUGAUACCCUAAAUCUCGUGGUCUUGUAGUUUGUAAACUUUAUUU
This is a long non-coding RNA of Benincasa hispida (wax gourd), 534 nucleotides long. RefSeq lists it as uncharacterized. NCBI's taxonomy places the organism in Eukaryota, Viridiplantae, Streptophyta, Magnoliopsida, Cucurbitales, Cucurbitaceae. The record is from RefSeq and is a predicted model, not a curated record.